CCGCCCAUAGCUCAAUGGAUAGAGUGUCAGAUUCCGGUUCUGAAGGUUGCAGGUUCGAGUCCUGCUGGGCGGGCCA
Molecule: transfer RNA, 76 nt
Filed under: Oscillospiraceae bacterium
Lineage: Bacteria; Bacillati; Bacillota; Clostridia; Eubacteriales; Oscillospiraceae
Description: tRNA-Arg
Rfam family: tRNA
About the family: Transfer RNA (tRNA) molecules are approximately 80 nucleotides in length.
Source: RNAcentral